GUCUGCUUCAGUAGCACAUAUACUAAAAUUAGAACAAUACAGAAAAGAUUAACGUGGCCACUAAGCAAGGGUGACACACAAAUUCAUUUUGAAGGGUUCCAUAUUAAA
Small nuclear RNA from Gracilinanus agilis (Agile Gracile Mouse Opossum), 108 nucleotides. NCBI's taxonomy places the organism in Eukaryota, Metazoa, Chordata, Mammalia, Didelphimorphia, Didelphidae. The record is from RefSeq and is a predicted model, not a curated record.